Molecule: ribosomal RNA, 253 nt
Filed under: uncultured bacterium
Lineage: Bacteria
Description: partial 16S ribosomal RNA
Rfam family: Bacterial small subunit ribosomal RNA
Source: RNAcentral
UACGUAGGGGGCAAGCGUUGUCCGGAUUUAUUGGGCGUAAAGAGCGUGUAGGCGGCCUGAAAGGUCAGCUGUGAAAACUCGAGGCUCAACCUCGAGACGUCGGUUGAAACCAUCUGGCUAGAGUCCGGAAGAGGAGAGUGGAAUUCCCGGUGUAGCGGUGAAAUGCGCAGAUAUUGGGAGGAACACCAGUGGCGAAGGCGGCUCGCUGGACCGGUUCUGACGCUGAGGCGCGAAAGCGUGGGGAGCAAACGGG